AUUAGACUGACUAGUUUUCUGUGAGUAUGGUUUCAGUGUGUCUUACCUUGGGCGUGGGGUAUCUCUUCACGGCUGCUCCACCAAAGCGCAGCCAUUGCUCCUUACCUUGGACGAGGGGUAUCUCCUCACCGCCGCCCUUCCUGACCUUCAACGUGGGAUAGCUCCUCUAGGCCCUCCUGCGCCGGCGCAGCCACGGCUCCUUGGACGUGGGGUUGGUCCUCCUGGCCACCGCCCCUGGCCUCGGGCGUAGGUUGCUCCUCCCGGCCGCCGCCCCUGGCCUUGGGCGUGGGGGCGUGGGGUAGCUCCUCCUGGCCGCCGCCCCUGACUCGGACGCUGGGUAUCUCCUCUCGGCCGCCCCGCCUGACCUCGGACGCGGGGUAGCUCCUCUCGGCCGUUCCUGCGCCGUCACAGUCUGGUACUCUUCGCUGCUGCCCCUGACCUCGGACGUGGGGUAACUCCUCUUGGCCGCCGCCCUUCGGGCAUGGGGUCCUCCCAGCUUCCACCCCUGACCUCGGACAUGGGGUGGCUCCUCUCCGCUGCGCUUAGCGCACCGGUCGCAGCCGCCUGCGCUUAGCGGUAUUUUGUUACAGCAGCUCAAAUAAAUGAAGACACAAGGGAAAAUCAGCAUGACAUCUCAGCUCAAUCAAAAUACCGAAAUUUCCAAGAAGUCUUCUCAGGUGGCCAAAUUGGGAAUCACCUUUAACAACAGCCUGCAGUGGCAGAGCUCACAUGUGAGGCAGCUAACUGUCCUGCUACCAGAAGACGAUGAUUCUACAUGUGAGCUCAUCAGCUUAUUGCAAGAUAUCCACAUCAUCGUCUCUGACAUCACCAUCGUCCUCGUGGUCACCAUCAACAUCAUGGAAAACCAGCGUAGGGUACUUCAAAACCACAUGCUUUGGAACUAGACAGAUCUGAUUUCGAAUUCUUCCCUCUCCAGUGUGUUACCGUGGGUGCUUCACUAGCAUGUUUGUAUGUCAGUUUCUGCACUGAUUUAAGUGAAAGUGAUUAUGAUACCCACAUAGGCGUCUUCAGGAGAAGCUAGGGUAAAGUAUUGUUGGGGUGCAGCCUGUAAGCCCUAGUAGUUGCCCAGCCUUAAGGCGAAGAAAGGGUCUAGAGACAGAGACAUCCAUGGCUUAUUGGAUGAGACCUUACAUAUAUGAAGCAGGUUCCUGGAGCAACACCCUAUCAAGUGCAGCAGACGGCAGGCAGGACAUGGCAGCAAUCUUUGUCACUUCGGGGAGGAGGCUACCAUUUAUAGGGGGAAUUGAUAUCAGGUUGGCUCAUCAAUUACCACGGAAAUCAGAGGGUGGGGCAGGGGUCAAGCACAUAGGCAGUUACUAAUGAAGCCCCA
RNAcentral lists this long non-coding RNA (1351 nucleotides) under Bos indicus x Bos taurus (hybrid cattle). RNAcentral's name for it is "lncRNA (ENSBIXG00000009678.1)". The record is from RNAcentral. Lineage: Eukaryota; Metazoa; Chordata; Mammalia; Artiodactyla; Bovidae.